This 3020-nucleotide unclassified non-coding RNA is filed under the name Eurytemora carolleeae. RNAcentral describes it as "histone-lysine N-methyltransferase EZH2". The record is from RNAcentral. Lineage: Eukaryota; Metazoa; Arthropoda; Copepoda; Calanoida; Temoridae.
AUCAAUUAGUCUAAAACGACCAAGCUUAUAUUUGCUUGAUUCACUUCUAAAAGAGAUAGAAUGCCGAAAGCAAAAUUUAAACGGAAAGGGGUUCCGGAACUUUCAGUUCAGAGUAAAAAAUCCAAAUAUUCGGAAAUCACAAACCUUGAUUCCUCCCUCACAGAAAAAACUUUAGAAAUUCCUGAGGAUGUUGCGGGGUUUCCAGUUUCUCUAGGUAUUCCUUGCAGCACACCAGUCUCCGAAGUACCAGGAGCAACAUCCUACCGAACCCUUUUGGAUCUCCCUGAGGAAUUGAUCUGCCUAAUCCUGGUUAGAUUACCUGUAUCAUCUAUAUCUAACCUGGAGAUAACCUGCAAACAUCUACAGCGAGUUCUAGUCAAUGCCAGGAUCUGGAGAAAGAUACUUUUACACAAACUUGAGUUUGAACCCGGACUCCGUAAACUCCUUCCUCCCAGCUAUUCAACUAAAAUGGAGAAUAGACUAGACUUAGAUCAUAAAAGUUGCAAGAAACUGUUGGAAAACCUGAAACUGAGGGUGGACUAUGCCUGGCUGAACACUAACGCCCCAACAGUUAUCAGGUCUGACAAGGUAUUCGGGCAAACCUUGGAGAACCACGUUCUUUGCCAGAUCAUGACCUCGGGCAGAUAUUUCGCCGCCUUCUACGGAACCAUCUGCAAGAGCAAGGAGAAUUAUGAGAUUGAUAUUAUUGAUAUAUUUGACCGGAGCAGCAGGAGGCGGGUGCGCCGGUUAGACAGUAUGCCGGCUAAACCUGAUAUAUUGAGGAUAGUUGAGGAGCUGGGUGUAUUCCUUCUCUCUUACCCAGGACUACUCAGUCUAGAGAUUAAUCGGUUAGGUCAGGAAGAAUCCAAGUUUCUAGUUCUGUGUAAACCCGGAGAAACUGAAUCUGGGAGUGUUUGUGAUAUUGUAGUUCGAGAUUAUAUAACUAUCCGGGGUGUUUUACACAGACGAGCAAUAAUGGUUGCCAUGAACACCGAACCCUUGGGAAACCCUCAUUAUCAUAUCGGAGAACUACAGUUCUACUCUCUGUCGGAGCAGGGAGAGGUUGGGUCUACUCCGCUCUGCAGUCUCCGGUUCAAUCCGGUUCCAAUCAAGGAGGGAAGGUUCUUCAAUCAGUGCAUUCAAAAGAAAGGCCUGUCUGACUUUAACGACGACCAUGCUGUAGUGGUUGUAGGAGGCUGUGAGGGGAGUGCUGUUCUAGGUGUAGUAAAUCUUCAGGAGGAAAGGUUGGUUCAUAAGCUCCAACUGAAGAGCCCAGGUAGAGUAGGAGGUGGAGCUGGUGGUUGUGAAGGUGGACUCUGUCAGUACAGUGUUGUCAGUUUAAUGAUAGAUCGGAUACACACGGAUACAUGCUCUAUACUACUCUCUACAGGACAGCUUAUAGUUAUCCAUCUAGUCAGUGGAACUACAAUCUUUCACAGACAUCUUCAGUUUGACGGUCAGCUUAAACUAGCCUUGCAUCAGCCUGGCCUCCUUGGUAAACAGAGAAUAGGAAUCAAAUUCAGAAAUUAUGUUACUUUCUACGAUCUCAUUCUUUCAGCAAGGAGUAGUGAAAUAGAUCUGAAACAUAUUCGAACACUGAGGAUCACGAGUAUAGACGCGGACGGACGAGAGACAAGGUUGGAUGAUAAUCCAUCCCAGGAGCUGAGAAGACAGUUUGGAGAACUACAGAAGAGAGUUAGAGCUCUAAACCAGUACACCAGCGGAAUUCAGAAGAAGCUGGAUAAAGGUCUGCGUCCUGGUACAGUGACGCAGGGCGUACACUCUAUGACGCAAAAGGUUCAUCUCGUAACCAGUAAGCUAGACCAGGCCCACGGGAAAGCCAGGGAGAUUGAGGCGGUUGUAAUCGCAAGCAUAGCUUUCGAUAACCGGUUUUGCCACGCUCUAACUCUUAACAGGGAUCUUGUAUCUUUCGAUUUGGAAGGCACCAUGAACGUAUCAGAAAAUGGUAGUAAACUUAAGGAUUUGAAAGGAAAACAUAAUAAAAGUUUGGACGACGAUGCACCAAGCCGGAGUACACGGAAAACGCGAGAAAAAGACGAAGAACCGGUUCCUGGAUCCUCCAGGCAGAACCGUAGGAGAUAAUCUUCACUCUCUGAAUCCCUGGAUCCGUAGCACAAUUCAACAUAAAAUAAAAUUUUUAAAUCAGAAAUUAAAUUGAGUGUAUUGACUCAUGAUCAAAUGAUGUGCCGUGGCCUAAUGGCGGUUUUGGGCUACUUUCAGAUAAAAACUUUUUAACAAAUUUAUUUUAUAAAAUCUGAUAAUUUUUCCAAGUUUUACAUCAGAUGAGUUUAUUUUUUAUUUUUCAGUUGCUCAUGCUCAGACAAACCAAACCAGCGAAUUUUGACAAAUAAUUCAUAUUUAUAAAAACUAUUGUUUUUGAUAAUUUUAAUUUACUCGUCCCCGGUUACGUUUUCAAUAUUUCCCUUGACGUUUUUUUUAAAAAUAAGAACCGACUCUGAAAACAUUUUUUAUGUUGCAUAACAGUUUUUCAAAGCAAGGACUGUAAACUUUAAUUCUUCCCACUCUUGAAUUGUAACAGAGUACCAUCAAUGAACCGUGGCAGCAAUCUUUAAACCAUUAAUUAUCAAAGUAACUUCGAUGGAAAUAUUUUCGUUGUUUUAUGAAUAACCUUGCUUAGCAGCUAAUGAAUAAAGUAAAAAUAGAAAUGCAUAAAAUGGUUAGAUACUUUUGUUCUAAUUCUCCGCCAUUGUUACUAAAAUUGUUGGUUUAAAGUUGUGGUAUCUCUGUGUUGCAGACUGCAGAGUCAUUUUUAAAGCGAAGGAUUAUUAAAUUUAAAGCGUAUUUAUUAAAGCACUUGAAGCUUGGAAAUUGUUGCUGUUUUAAAAGAUCUCGCCUUGACAUCUUACAGCUGACGCCCGAUGUACAUUUACAAUAUUUGUUGCCCUAAAACGCAUGUGGGAGUUUGAGCCUGGAAUCUAUUUGUUGAAUUAUGAUAACAUUUUGAUUGUUAAUAUUUAUUAAAUAAGGCAUUUAUCAAU